This 22-nucleotide microRNA is filed under the name Lingula anatina. RNAcentral describes it as "Lan-Mir-2-o104_5p* (star (passenger))". The record is from RNAcentral. Lineage: Eukaryota; Metazoa; Brachiopoda; Lingulata; Lingulida; Lingulidae.
UCGUUUAAGGGGCUGUGAAAUG